RNAcentral lists this RNase P RNA (332 nucleotides) under bacterium. RNAcentral's name for it is "RNase P RNA component class A". It matches the Rfam family "Bacterial RNase P class A". Rfam says of the family: Ribonuclease P (RNase P) is a ubiquitous endoribonuclease, found in archaea, bacteria and eukarya as well as chloroplasts and mitochondria. Its best characterised activity is the generation of mature 5'-ends of tRNAs by cleaving the 5'-leader elements of precursor-tRNAs. The record is from RNAcentral.
GAGUCAAUCUAGGUACUACGCUCUUUUAGAGUGAGGAAAGUCCUGGCACGAAAUCAAAGCUAUCAUCUCACGGAUGUUGGAACACUGUCUGAGACAGGCAAACGAAAGUGCCACAGAGAUUAAACUAUCCCUUUGGGGAGAAAGGUGAAACAGAGUGGUAGUCUCUUGAGGAGAGAUUUACACUUACUCAAUCUGAUUGCUGAUCAGAUGAGGGGUAAACCGUAGCUCGUGCAAGCUUGCCAGUCUCGUGCUGGAAGUGCAAAUGGUUGCUCUAUGCAACUCUAGAUAAAUAGUACCUUGUACAGAACCAGGCUUAUUGGAUUGACACUCUU